UGCCAGCAGCCGCGGUAAUACGGAGGGGGUUAGCGUUGUUCGGAAUUACUGGGCGUAAAGCGCACGUAGGCGGAUCAGAAAGUUAGGGGUGAAAUCCCGGGGCUCAACCCCGGAACUGCCUCUAAAACUCCUGGUCUUGAGUUCGAGAGAGGUGAGUGGAAUUCCGAGUGUAGAGGUGAAAUUCGUAGAUAUUCGGAGGAACACCAGUGGCGAAGGCGGCUCACUGGCUCGAUACUGACGCUGAGGUGCGAAAGUGUGGGGAGCAAACAGGAUUAGAUA
RNAcentral lists this ribosomal RNA (279 nucleotides) under uncultured bacterium. Its description in RNAcentral is "partial 16S ribosomal RNA". It matches the Rfam family "Bacterial small subunit ribosomal RNA", at positions 506 to 784 of the family's 1533-position model. The record is from RNAcentral.